Pelodiscus sinensis (Chinese soft-shelled turtle) is the source of this 1113-nucleotide non-coding RNA. NCBI's taxonomy places the organism in Eukaryota, Metazoa, Chordata, Testudines, Trionychidae. The record is from RefSeq and is a predicted model, not a curated record.
UUGCACUUAAAUUUAAAAAGUGAUUUUGUGGUUAAAAAGGUUGGAGACCACUGACGUACAGCAAAGCAGUAAAUGGAUCAAACACUAACCCCGCCUCAUUUUCUUGUGCACAUUCUUAACACCAGAUAUAAAAGUCUACUUUUAUACCCAUGUUCUGAAAAUGAUGCUGCCAUUGCAUAGGUAUCUCAAAAAUCACUCGUCAUAAUAAAUGUCAGGGCUUGAGCAAAACCAUUUAAUCCUUAAGUAUUUACUGAUGAUGUUUUGAACAAAGUCACUCCCCUGAACUGGUAAGAACAAUUAGCCAGGCUCUUUAAGACAAAGUUCCUUCAGUUGCUAAGCCAACUCCUCUGCAGGCACAAAAUAUUGUCAUUGGUUGGUAUUAUUUUUACAAAUCUAAGAAAUAGACUGGAUUUGGAAAGGCAGGAAAACUUGUAUUUAUUUCAGUCUAUAAAAUCAAAACGACAGUGGGAAUGAGAAAGAAGAGAGCUAGUUGUAGAAGUUUUAAGGAUACUGUACAUUUAGUGUUGUGAUGACUUGUCGGUUAGAGUUAAUAAAAUCUGAAAAUUAAAAAGAGAGAGACUAUGUAAGGACUGCCAUCAGCCAGCAACUCAGGAGUCGGCUGCAAAUGCAAAACAUGUAUGUGACAUUUAAGACUUAGUUUAAUAAAAUGUGCUUUUGACGGGGCCUGCCAACCCCGCACUGAACAAGGGGGAGCAGAGCACACCUAUUGGGUGGAAUACGCCCUUUCUCCACAGCCCUGCUGGGCAUGCUCCCAGUGCAGCCCAGGUAUAAAAGCCUGUAGAGCAGCUCAGUUGGCGCUGACCUCCAGAGGAGAAGGAACUACUGCCCAACCACCUGAGCCAUAGCCGCCACAACUGGAGUGAGAGACACAGGACCAGUGGACUGCGCAACUAACAUCCCCGGGCCGAGCUCAACCGCAACGCCGGCUGCACCAAACAGCCCCCCUGGACACUGUCGCCGCACCAGUGGGGCUGCACCCGACACUGGGCCUGCCAACGUCACUACUGCCACCCGACCCACAGCUACAGGAUACACGGGCUUAAUUCUUGGCUCCAUCCCAGACUUCUGGAGCGAGCUCAGAGCAGAGAGGGG